RNA transcript from Aedes albopictus (Asian tiger mosquito), 1900 nucleotides. RefSeq lists it as uncharacterized. Lineage: Eukaryota; Metazoa; Arthropoda; Insecta; Diptera; Culicidae. The transcript has 4 exons. The record is from RefSeq and is a predicted model, not a curated record.
UAAAAUUCCUGCAUAGUCCAAAGUGAAAAGGCGAAGUAGAUAACAUUAAGAGAAAAAUGAACCCUUUGUCAUUGGACAGCACAACAGUACCACCGACAAAGUAGUACGUCGAACAUUGAGAUCGGUUGUGGUAGAUUCGAAGCAGGAUCAAUCAACGUUGCAAGUCGUAACUGUACCUCGAAUCGUGUCGGUCGUAUCCGAAGCUGAUGUAUUACCACCCUCGAGCACACAAAUGAGCGCAACUGAAAUGAUUGCUGUGCAAUUUUUGAACAGUGACGAAGAGCUGCUACUGGAUGAUGAACUUGACGUACAAGACCCUAUUGCCUCCAAUGCGGAUAGUGCUCAGGAAACUUUCGAAGAUGAAAUAGUUAGUGUUCCGAAUGAAGCACAUGCGGCUGAACAACGAAAUGCGGAAUUGGGAAAUUCCUCGAAAGCAACCAACGAUGGCGGUGUUCAACUUUCAAAGAUAAGUCCUGACAAACAAGGCGGCUCAGAGGAUGUUGAAAAUCAAUCCCCGAAUUCAAGCGAGAAACGUGGCUCCUCCGAUAGCGUACAGUUACAUAAAAGCUCGAAAAAACACGCAUCUACCGAAAUGAAGUUCCGUUGUUUCAAGAUCAAUUGGGAUAAGCUUGGCGAUAGUCUUCUCAAUCGAUUGCGUGCGUUGGAGGACUUCAAACGGAACAAUCGAGGGGUUCCUGUUCCGGUAACAAUACGCAUAGCCAAGACCGAAGUGACUACGUUAGCGAACACGGUUGUGGAUCAGCUGAGAAUGAUCGAUACGCAAAUCAGAUCGGAUGUAAUGGAAACGGCAGCACGUCAAGUCUUAGACAAGUUCCCAGCUUUGGACUAUACCGAUGACGAUGGGUUCGGAGCCGGCCAAGGAUAUGUGGAUAUCAAAUACAAGUUGAUCAAUCGUAAUAAUUAUUUGAAUCGCUUUAAAUCCCCUCAAGCAACUUUGACGAACACCGUAACGAGUUUAAAAAAGAAGCGGAAUGCUAGAGCGGGUACGCUGAAAGAAUACUGGCAGAAGUCUGCCAGUGAAUGUGACAAAAGUUCGGUUUCGGCUCUGGUACGCGAUGACCCAAGUCUGAUGACGGAGGAGCUGCUGCUGAACCCAGGCCUUCAUUAGAUGGAAACUGGACGAAAAAAUAGACACAAAGCAAAUGAUUUCACAGCUUCCUGUUCUACGACGACGAUUGUUGGUGAAUUUCCACUUCGAGCAGGCAACCGGUGUGAACAUCACCGACUUGCGGCGCUAUUUUAUGAUGAAAAGGGAAAAACUCGUGCAAUACUCGCUGACCUGCAAAUCGGAGCUCCACUUGAGUAAAUCAGCAUCAGAUUACGAUAUAUUGAAAUUUCUAUGCUCGCUUGUUGGGGAAGACUUCGGAGAUUUUAUCAUUCAAAAGGAUAUUGGUACUCGUAUUGACGAUAUCACCAUUGACGGUUCUGGACCGGUGCUGGUAGCUGUUGAUGUCGGAAACGAUAAAACGAUAUUCUACGUAUACGCAAAUCGGACACGUUUGUCCGAGGGAGCUCAUGAUGUGAUUGCCGCAGUAGAGGACCUAUUCGCCAUCCAAUUUGUACACAAUUUCAUGUACACAAAAUCGGUUUCAAAAUUCAUGGAACUGCUCCAGGAAUACUUCCUUAAGAUCAUAACUUUUGUGGCGUCGAAGUCGGGUGCACGUCGAGUAGGACAAAGGCAACAAAAAGUCAGAAAAGUCAUUUCUGCGUUGUCUAACUUUAACGUUAGCAGUUAAACAGCAUUUGUUUUGUUUGGUCAGGUCUGUCGGGCUGUUUAUAAUAUGAAUUAACUAUACAUAAAUGCCCAAAGAUAAAUUUGUGUUAAUCGUAAGCUCGAUAAAUUUCAUAGCCAAUAAAAAAGAACAUUUUUUCAUGUCAA